GUUCUAGACCUCAACCGUAUCCAUAUUGAAUCCAAAGAAGAAGCGAGGAUUAGGAUCCCAGAUGCCGCCCGCUUCCCAGAUGCAGAAUCCCCAGAGAGGGGAGGGGAAAUUUAAGAUUCGGUCAAGAAGAAAACUGGGGGAGCUCGCUCACUUGUGACUCCGCAAUGGCCGCAAGGUCCCUCCUUCUUCGCCAUGGCGCCCUCUUCCCUCUUGUCUCUUCUCCCAACGCCCACGCCCACGCCCACGCGAGUGAGGUGAGGGGAGAUUCAACAAGCAACUGUUUCCUGCUCCUUUCUUGGUAUGAAUGAAUCUCUCUUUGAGAACCAAAAAAGGGGAUUAAUUGCUGGGAACAAUUCCACUGCCCAUCACCAAGUCAAAAGCCAAGGCUUGCUUCUUUUUCUUC
This 403-nucleotide long non-coding RNA is filed under the name Hordeum vulgare. RNAcentral's name for it is "long non-coding RNA (HVUL_LNC006111)". Lineage: Eukaryota; Viridiplantae; Streptophyta; Magnoliopsida; Poales; Poaceae. The record is from RNAcentral.